RNAcentral lists this ribosomal RNA (466 nucleotides) under uncultured bacterium. RNAcentral describes it as "partial 16S ribosomal RNA". It matches the Rfam family "Bacterial small subunit ribosomal RNA", at positions 28 to 507 of the family's 1533-position model. The record is from RNAcentral.
GAUGAACGCUGGCGGCGUGCUUAACACAUGCAAGUCGAACGGAAAGGCCCAAGCUUGCUUGGGUACUCGAGUGGCGAACGGGUGAGUAACACGUGGGUGAUCUGCCCUGCACUUCGGGAUAAGCCUGGGAAACUGGGUCUAAUACCGGAUAGGACCACAUUUUGGAUGGUGGGGUGGAAAGGUUUUCGGUGUGGGAUGAGCUCGCGGCCUAUCAGCUUGUUGGUGGGGUAAUGGCCUACCAAGGCGUCGACGGGUAGCCGGCCUGAGAGGGUGUACGGCCACAUUGGGACUGAGAUAAGGCCCAGACUCCUACGGGAGGCAGCAGUGGGGAAUAUUGCACAAUGGGCGCAAGCCUGAUGCAGCGACGCCGCGUGGGGGAUGACGGCCUUCGGGUUGUAAACUCCUUUCGCUAGGGACGAAGCGUUAUGUGACGGUACCUGGAGAAGAAGCACCGGCUAACUACGUG